This 216-nucleotide ribosomal RNA is filed under the name uncultured Glomeromycotina. RNAcentral describes it as "partial small subunit ribosomal RNA". The stretch from base 39 to 216 matches the Rfam family "Eukaryotic small subunit ribosomal RNA", at positions 684 to 864 of the family's 1831-position model. Lineage: Eukaryota; Fungi; Glomeromycota. The record is from RNAcentral.
GGAUCAGUACGUUGGUCGUGCUUUCGGGUAUGUACUGGUGUUACUGAUUCCUUCCUUCUGACGAACUAUCAUGCCAUUUACUUGGUGUGGUGGGAAAUCAGGACUGUUACUUUGAAAAAAUUAGAGUGUUUAAAGCAGGCUCACGCUUGAAUACAUUAGCAUGGAAUAAUGAAAUAGGACGUUGAUCUUAUUUUGUUGGUUUCUAGGAUUGACGUA